Entelurus aequoreus (snake pipefish) is the source of this 926-nucleotide long non-coding RNA. RefSeq lists it as uncharacterized. The transcript is spliced from 3 exons. Lineage: Eukaryota; Metazoa; Chordata; Actinopteri; Syngnathiformes; Syngnathidae. The record is from RefSeq and is a predicted model, not a curated record.
UUAUGCGCGUGACGUCACAAAAGCAACGGAAGUGGUUGGACCCCAUCGGACCCGGUAGAAAAGCCUCUUGUUUUCGUCGACAAAAUUCCACAUUAUUCUGGACAUCUGUGUUGGUGAAUCUUUUGCAAUUUGUUUAAUGAACAAUGGAGACUGCAAAGAAAAAUGUUGUAGGUGGGAUCGAUCGGUGUCUUAGCGGCUAAGUACAAUACUGUAAUAUCUGUGAUAUUUGCAUUAGUGUACUGUCUUUAAGGGUUUGGGGAACGCGCAUGCGCGAGUGAGUUGGCGGAGAACUUGUGUGUGUGAGCGUGAGUUUUGGCUAACAGCAGCUCGUGUAUGUGUGUGCGUUACUUUUUGAACUACAACCAGUUACCGCUUUUUAAUAAAGCGAUUGAGCAGCGCUUCCUCGUCUGUGUGACUCCUUCUCCACUGCGGGGCAUUACAAUACUUACAGCAACACAACAAGGACUACUUACUACGCCUAGCUGAUGCUUGCCGCCAAACCCACGGAUGAAGUCCUUCGUCGUGCCGUUGAUCGCUGGAAUGCAGACAUGCUUUAGCAGCACGAGCAGGAAAACUCCACCUCAGCGUCAACCUCUUCCUUGACAAACAGCAUCCUUGUGAAGGAGUACGAGGUUGAGAGUUUGUCCAAUCAGAGCUAGAGCUUGGUUUCCAUUGCUGGCAGCCCAGUCACUGUGAACUUUGACCUCUGUCAAGGCUUCCCUUUGUCAUCGCUUCUGUUCAUUAUCUUUACAAACAGAUCUUAUAGGCGCAGCCAAGGCGUGGAUGGUGUUCAGCUUUGGGGGGCUUAAAGAUCUCCUCUGUGCUAUUUGUAGAUGAUGUACAAAGUAUUUUUUUUUCUCCUGUCAUUUCCAGCCAGUAGAUAAAUGUUCAAUAAUAUUCUAAUAUACCUUUCUUUUUAAAGUGAA